GGAGGGGUACCAAAGUGGCCAAAUGGGGCGGACUGUAAAUCCGUUGCGAAAGCUUCGUAGGUUCGAAUCCUACCCCCUCCACCA
This 84-nucleotide transfer RNA is filed under the name Alicyclobacillus sp. Its description in RNAcentral is "tRNA-Tyr". It matches the Rfam family "tRNA". Rfam says of the family: Transfer RNA (tRNA) molecules are approximately 80 nucleotides in length. Their secondary structure includes four short double-helical elements and three loops (D, anti-codon, and T loops). The record is from RNAcentral. Lineage: Bacteria; Bacillati; Bacillota; Bacilli; Caryophanales; Alicyclobacillaceae. RNAcentral also lists the same sequence under 1 other name.